RNAcentral lists this long non-coding RNA (757 nucleotides) under Gallus gallus (chicken). Lineage: Eukaryota; Metazoa; Chordata; Aves; Galliformes; Phasianidae. The record is from RNAcentral.
UCUUACUGAUAGCACACCAACGCUUCUGCCAUUCAAAGCCAAGAAAACUGUGGUCUUUUCUGCGUUUUUCCAGGUAUCCAGCCUUCAGAACAAACUGAAGAUCUUGAGCUGCGAUAGGAGGAAACUGAUUCCCAUCAGAAUGUGCUUCAUCGUCUUUAUCACAUCGGUCAGAUGCUAUUGAGGCACUGUCAGGAGGUGAAGAAAAGGAGCUCUCUGACUCUUCCUCAUCUUCCAAUUCUUUAUCCUGGAAUUCUUGAGGGUAACUUGCCUUAACAUCUUUUAUCUUCUUAAGAAGAAUAUCCUUUUUUUCUUUUGCUUUCUUGGACAAAUUUUCUCCUUUUAGGGUCUGGGAAAUAAACGUGUCGAUAUCUGUCAGGAGGCCGCGGACGUCCUCGGGGAUAGCGGCGCCGUGCAUGCUGCGGGCGGCGGGUGCACCCCGCGGGCGACUCGCCUGGGCCGUGCCCCUGCCUCGGCCCCGCCGGGGAGGAAACAGCAACCCCGCCCCACGGCCGCAACGGCACGGCCUAGAGCCCCCGGGGCGGGACUUCGAGCAAGAAGGCGGGGUUUCGCAUCGGGGGAGCGGGGCUUCUCCCGCCCGCCGCGCACCGCCCCCCAGAGCCGCGCGUGCGCCUCCGCCAUCCCUAUGUUUACAGCUGCUGCUGGGUGUCCCCCGUAGCAACGCCUCCGCAACGAGGGAUCACCGUCCACGUGACCUGUGCCGGAAGUCGUGUUGCGUGAGGUCGCCGUGCGGAUCCCC